RNAcentral lists this ribosomal RNA (428 nucleotides) under bacterium 20-L049616-122-011-D03. RNAcentral's name for it is "bacterial SSU rRNA". It matches the Rfam family "Bacterial small subunit ribosomal RNA", at positions 61 to 472 of the family's 1533-position model. The record is from RNAcentral.
GUCGAGCGGACAGAAGGGAGCUUGCUCCCGGAUGUUAGCGGCGGACGGGUGAGUAACACGUGGGUAACCUGCCUGUAAGACUGGGAUAACUCCGGGAAACCGGAGCUAAUACCGGAUAGUUCCUUGAACCGCAUGGUUCAAGGAUGAAAGACGGUUUCGGCUGUCACUUACAGAUGGACCCGCGGCGCAUUAGCUAGUUGGUGGGGUAAUGGCUCACCAAGGCGACGAUGCGUAGCCGACCUGAGAGGGUGAUCGGCCACACUGGGACUGAGACACCGCCCAGACUCCUACGGGAGGCAGCAGUAGGGAAUCUUCCGCAAUGGACGAAAGUCUGACGGAGCAACGCCGCGUGAGUGAUGAAGGUUUUCGGAUCGUAAAGCUCUGUAGUUAGGGAAGAACCAGUGCGAGAGUAACUGCUCGCACCUUGA